Long non-coding RNA from Lemur catta (Ring-tailed lemur), 575 nucleotides. RefSeq lists it as uncharacterized. The record is from RefSeq and is a predicted model, not a curated record. The transcript has 3 exons. Lineage: Eukaryota; Metazoa; Chordata; Mammalia; Primates; Lemuridae.
GUGAAACUAGCACCAGAGGAAGCUUCAGCCAUUUCCUUCCUCUGAGUUGGAGGCCUGGUUCUCUGCUCCAGCCUAGCAGGGAGUCUGAGGGGGAGGAGAGAUCCUGACUUGUGCUGCCUUCCCCGUCUCAGGCUUCGUCCAUGUUCUGCCCCUCCAGCUCACAUCCCUGCGCUUCUGACCUCAGGAACCAAUAGCCACUAACUACUAGGGUUGCUGACCAUUCCCUGAGCAAGUGAGGCUAACCUACUGUGUGCACAGCGCUGCCUACCAGGAAUUGUGCUUCUCUGAUCUUCCAGGCACCUGCCUUUGGCUUCAGGAAAGUAAGGCGGAAGGUCUGGCUGGGUAUAGAUUGCACAUAACCGUCUCCCCAACCUAUCUCCAUAAAGAGACCAGUCUUCCGUCCAGAAAAUGUUUAGCAAAUUUAAGAUCCUGCCCUGCUACACUAGGCUCUCCAGUCUCUACAUAGUAUAACUGGUCAUGGGCUUGAGGAAAACGAAGAAAUACACAACUCCUAAAGGGCCCGUGGGCUUGGGUUGCGGGACACACGUUCACAAACACACGGUCUGGGCGGCGGC